UACGUAGGGUGCGAGCGUUAAUCGGAAUUACUGGGCGUAAAGGGCGCGUAGGCGGCCUUCUAAGUCGAACGUGAAAUCCCUGGGCUCAACCCAGGAACUGCGUCCGAUACUGGAAGGCUUGAAUCCGGGAGAGGGAUGCGGAAUUCCAGGUGUAGCGGUGAAAUGCGUAGAUAUCUGGAGGAACACCGGUGGCGAAGGCGGCAUCCUGGACCGGUAUUGACGCUGAGGCGCGAAAGCCAGGGGAGCAAACGGG
This 253-nucleotide ribosomal RNA is filed under the name uncultured bacterium. Its description in RNAcentral is "partial 16S ribosomal RNA". It matches the Rfam family "Bacterial small subunit ribosomal RNA", at positions 524 to 776 of the family's 1533-position model. The record is from RNAcentral.